UACGUAGGUGGCAAGCGUUGUCCGGAAUUAUUGGGCGUAAAGCGCGCGCAGGCGGCCUCUUAAGUCUGAUGUGAAAGCCCCCGGCUCAACCGGGGAGGGCCAUUGGAAACUGGGAGGCUUGAGUAUAGGAGAGGGCAGUGGAAUUUCCGGUGUAGCGGUGAAAUGCGUAGAUAUCGGAAGGAACAUCGGUGGCGAAGGCGGCUGCCUGGCCUAAUACUGACGCUGAGGUACGAAAGCAUGGGGAGCAAACAGG
This 253-nucleotide unclassified non-coding RNA is filed under the name uncultured Caryophanales bacterium. Its description in RNAcentral is "uncultured Bacillales bacterium contains 16S-23S intergenic spacer region". It matches the Rfam family "Bacterial small subunit ribosomal RNA", at positions 524 to 776 of the family's 1533-position model. Lineage: Bacteria; Bacillati; Bacillota; Bacilli; Caryophanales. The record is from RNAcentral.